AGGCAAAGAUGUUAAAAUGGUCAGUUAACAGUCGACAAAACCUCAGCAUUGAAGAAGAACUUUUAGAAGAGGAGCAGCCAGUUAUUGCAGUUGAUACAAACCAGAAAUGGAAAUAUGUCAAGAGAAAAUUUCUCCCGCGUGGACAAAAAUCCGACUUAAAGUUGCCUUCAGAGGGAGCUGGAGGAAGGAGAAAAAGUUGCUUCGCAGUUUUUAGUUCUGCAGUUUCAAACAGGAAA
This is a long non-coding RNA of Eurytemora carolleeae, 236 nucleotides long. RefSeq lists it as uncharacterized. NCBI's taxonomy places the organism in Eukaryota, Metazoa, Arthropoda, Copepoda, Calanoida, Temoridae. The record is from RefSeq and is a predicted model, not a curated record. The transcript is spliced from 3 exons.